RNAcentral lists this ribosomal RNA (760 nucleotides) under Bacillus velezensis. Its description in RNAcentral is "bacterial SSU rRNA". It matches the Rfam family "Bacterial small subunit ribosomal RNA", at positions 565 to 1324 of the family's 1533-position model. Lineage: Bacteria; Bacillati; Bacillota; Bacilli; Caryophanales; Bacillaceae. The record is from RNAcentral.
GGGCUCGCAGGCGGUUUCUUAAGUCUGAUGUGAAAGCCCCCGGCUCAACCCGGGGAGGGUCAUUGGAAACUGGGGAACUUGAGUGCAGAAGAGGAGAGUGGAAUUCCACGUGUAGCGGUGAAAUGCGUAGAGAUGUGGAGGAACACCAGUGGCGAAGGCGACUCUCUGGUCUGUAACUGACGCUGAGGAGCGAAAGCGUGGGGAGCGAACAGGAUUAGAUACCCUGGUAGUCCACGCCGUAAACGAUGAGUGCUAAGUGUUAGGGGGUUUCCGCCCCUUAGUGCUGCAGCUAACGCAUUAAGCACUCCGCCUGGGGAGUACGGUCGCAAGACUGAAACUCAAAGGAAUUGACGGGGGCCCGCACAAGCGGUGGAGCAUGUGGUUUAAUUCGAAGCAACGCGAAGAACCUUACCAGGUCUUGACAUCCUCUGACAAUCCUAGAGAUAGGACGUCCCCUUCGGGGGCAGAGUGACAGGUGGUGCAUGGUUGUCGUCAGCUCGUGUCGUGAGAUGUUGGGUUAAGUCCCGCAACGAGCGCAACCCUUGAUCUUAGUUGCCAGCAUUCAGUUGGGCACUCUAAGGUGACUGCCGGUGACAAACCGGAGGAAGGUGGGGAUGACGUCAAAUCAUCAUGCCCCUUAUGACCUGGGCUACACACGUGCUACAAUGGACAGAACAAAGGGCAGCGAAACCGCGAGGUUAAGCCAAUCCCACAAAUCUGUUCUCAGUUCGGAUCGCAGUCUGCAACUCGACUGCGUGAA